Molecule: small nuclear RNA, 162 nt
Organism: Phodopus roborovskii (desert hamster)
Lineage: Eukaryota; Metazoa; Chordata; Mammalia; Rodentia; Cricetidae
Product: U1 spliceosomal RNA
Exons: 1
Source: RefSeq, a predicted model, not a curated record
AUACUUACCUAGCAGGGGCAAUACUAUGGUCAUGAAGGUGGUUUCCUCAUGGUGAGGCGUCUCCAUUGUAUAUUAGAUAUCCUGACUCCGGCAAUUCUCCCAGAUGUGGCAAACUUUACUGUAUAAUUUGUGGUAGUGAGGACUAAGUCCAUGCUCUCCCCU